GCGCACCUGUGAUCUAUCUGCUCGUCAGGCAAGGUGUACAAGAGGAGCUGACUGCCAGCACUUCGACGCCUGAGUGUUAGCCAGUAACGGUGUCUUUCCUGAGAAGUCCUGGGUUCCCCCCUCGUGACGCUGUGGAACCUACCCACUGGUUGCCCGAGUUUCCAGACUCACCUCCUCCGGCUAUCGCAGUUCCCUCCUGGAUGUCCCGACUGGCAGUCGUGUGGCUCCUCUGUCUCUGUCCUGCCAAAACCUACCUGUCCGUCCCCACCCCAACAACAUUCCCUCGCCGCCUUCCGGAUCUCAGUGGCCCAGCGCUGUUCCACCUGGAUCAUACGGAAUCAAGAACCCCGAGUACGGCAGUUAUCCCUCCAAACCUGCAAACUCCCACUCAACAAUGAGCCGACCACUCCGUGAGCCUUUUCCUUCCCCCUGGAAAGGACCCGCAAUCUUCAGUACAUUCUAUUAUUGCUGUUGUAAUAAAUUCACUUAUUAUAU
This is a long non-coding RNA of Xiphophorus couchianus (Monterrey platyfish), 495 nucleotides long. RefSeq lists it as uncharacterized. The transcript has 3 exons. The record is from RefSeq and is a predicted model, not a curated record. Lineage: Eukaryota; Metazoa; Chordata; Actinopteri; Cyprinodontiformes; Poeciliidae.